GACAGAGGGUGCAAACGUUGUUCGGAAUUACUGGGCGUAAAGCGUGUGUAGGCGGUCUUGUAAGUCGUGUGUGAAAGCCCUGGGCUCAACCCAGGAAGUGCACUCGAAACUGCGAGGCUAGAGUACUGGAGAGGUUGGUGGAAUUCUCGGUGUAGAGGUGAAAUUCGUAGAUAUCGAGAGGAACACCGGUGGCGAAGGCGGCCAACUGGACAGAUACUGACGCUGAGACACGAAAGCGUGGGGAGCAAACAGG
This 253-nucleotide ribosomal RNA is filed under the name uncultured bacterium. RNAcentral's name for it is "partial 16S ribosomal RNA". It matches the Rfam family "Bacterial small subunit ribosomal RNA", at positions 524 to 776 of the family's 1533-position model. The record is from RNAcentral.